RNAcentral lists this transfer RNA (86 nucleotides) under Gemmatimonadota bacterium. RNAcentral describes it as "Gemmatimonadetes bacterium tRNA-Arg". It matches the Rfam family "tRNA". Rfam says of the family: Transfer RNA (tRNA) molecules are approximately 80 nucleotides in length. Their secondary structure includes four short double-helical elements and three loops (D, anti-codon, and T loops). RNAcentral also lists the same sequence under 1 other name. The record is from RNAcentral. Lineage: Bacteria; Pseudomonadati; Gemmatimonadota.
GCGCCUGUAGAUCAACCGGACAGAGUGCCGGGCUACGAACCCGGAGGCUGGGCUCGAGGGCGCUGGUUCGAGUCCAGCCGGGCGCA